Molecule: ribosomal RNA, 699 nt
Filed under: Halomonas sp. 30Mb
Lineage: Bacteria; Pseudomonadati; Pseudomonadota; Gammaproteobacteria; Oceanospirillales; Halomonadaceae
Description: bacterial SSU rRNA
Rfam family: Bacterial small subunit ribosomal RNA
Source: RNAcentral
ACGGGUGAGUAAUGCAUAGGAAUCNGCCCGAUAGUGGGGGAUAACCUGGGGAAACCCAGGCUAAUACCGCAUACGUCCUACGGGAGAAAGGGGGCUUCGGCUCCCGCUAUCGGAUGAGCCUAUGUCGGAUUAGCUAGUUGGUGAGGUAAAGGCUCACCAAGGCAACGAUCCGUAGCUGGUCUGAGAGGAUGAUCAGCCACAUCGGGACUGAGACACGGCCCGAACUCCUACGGGAGGCAGCAGUGGGGAAUAUUGGACAAUGGGGGCAACCCUGAUCCAGCCAUGCCGCGUGUGUGAAGAAGGCCCUCGGGUUGUAAAGCACUUUCAGCGAGGAAGAACGCCUAGCGGUUAAUACCCGCUAGGAAAGACAUCACUCGCAGAAGAAGCACCGGCUAACUCCGUGCCAGCAGCCGCGGUAAUACGGAGGGUGCAAGCGUUAAUCGGAAUUACUGGGCGUAAAGCGCGCGUAGGUGGCUUGAUAAGCCGGUUGUGAAAGCCCCGGGCUCAACCUGGGAACGGCAUCCGGAACUGUCAAGCUAGAGUGCAGGAGAGGAAGGUAGAAUUCCCGGUGUAGCNGNNNNNNGCGUAGAGAUCGGGAGGAAUACCAGUGGCGAAGGCGGCCUUCUGGACUGACACUGACACUGAGGUGCGAAAGCGUGGGUAACGGACAGGAUUAGAUACCCUGGUAGUCCACGCCGU